This 1216-nucleotide long non-coding RNA is filed under the name Homo sapiens (human). RNAcentral's name for it is "HSALNT0314551". Lineage: Eukaryota; Metazoa; Chordata; Mammalia; Primates; Hominidae. The record is from RNAcentral.
CCUGAGCAAGGCAAUGAGGACCGGUGCAAACUCCUCACAGCCUGUGGGCAGUUCAUUAGCUGUGGUUCUCAGGUGCUUCUCAUACACACUCUCAGUAGGGCACAACUUCCACGCUUCCAUUUACUUAUUUAGAAAUGUGGUUUGGCUAUGUUGGUCAGAGUGGCCUCAAACUCCUGGGCUCAAGCCAUCCUCCUGCCUCGGCCUUCUGAGUAGCUGGGACUACAGGCGUGCGCCAUUACGCCCUGCUACACAUCCCUGCUUUAGCAGGUGAGCGAACGGGGCAUGGAUAGGGCAAAUUCAAGGCUUCACGCCAAGUAAUUGGGAGAACCUGGACUUGAACCUAGGUCUUCACCCCUCCCUGACAUCAGGGAGAUGGCCUUCCUGGAGCUGCAGCCAGAUCCCACUGUCCCUGGCAUUGUGCUGUGUCCAUGCCUGUGCUACACUCCCUACCCUAACCCCCGUCUCACUCCGAUUCUCCCCUCCUUCAAGGCUUAACACCUCCACAAAUGCCACAAAACCUUCCCCAGUGAUCCCCACAGCUACUGGUGUCCUGGGUCUUCGAAGUGUUCCUUCUUGUCUGCACUCCAGCCUGAGUGACAGAGUGAGCCCUUAUCUCAAAAAAAAAAAAAAAAAAAUCCCAAUUGUAAGAGUUAACACAUGCUCAUACUAAGGAUCCAGACAGAUCAGAAGGGUAUACAGAGGCAAGCAGAAUCUCCGGCUUCCUACCAGCUUCUCUUCCAGAGAAACACAGUGUUAGCAAUUUCUUGUGAAUUCCUCUGGAAAGUCUCCAUUCAUUUACAGGAUGUCACACUAUAUUGCUUUAAUUAUCCUUCUCUGUCCACUGCUCCAUACCUAGUUCCCUGAGGACUGGCUAGGAUCUGACUUAGGUAGGUGCUGGAAUCAGUCCUGGGCCGGGCUGGAAAAGAUGAUCAGAAAAUUUUGCAUGGGAUAGUUUUAUUCCCUCCUGACACCAACUGACCAGAUAGCAUGGGAUCUGGUGAACCUCCUUGCUCCUAAUUGGAGGCUGCCAUCUCCUAGCUGGCAGAUGUAUUUUCUUUUCCUUAUAGAAUAUUAUUAUCAUUACUGAAAGAUGAAUUCAUUUUCAACAUUUAAAACCUGAGAGAUAUUACUUAAAAAAUAUAAUUUUCCCAUCUGGCACAGAGGUUCAUGCCUAUAAUCCCAGACCUUUGGGAGGCCGAGGUGGGAGGAUCGCUUG